UAAUUUAAUUUAAUCGGAAAUCUCUCUGAACUACAAGAAAACAAGACAAAAAAAAUAAAAAAUAAAAUAAUAAUAACAAUAACUAAAUAACAUGAAAAUAAAAUCGCACAUUUCCCAAUGCCAACCAUACCAACGUGACUGCAAAACAAAUGCACCGGAUAAACCAAAACCGGCAACCGAGCGCGUGCAGGCUGUCGAUGGGUUAGGCGAGCUUGCACCCGGCAUUCCUGCCUGGACCUUCGGGAAGUACGUGUCGCUCCCGUAGCCUGAACGCGACUGAACAGAAACCACCCGGCUACUUCCAGCUGCAGGAGUUUGAAAAAAUAGAGCUUUAAAGGAAAAUUGUUCAAUCCAAAGCUAUUACGCAAUAACUUUGAAGACAGAUAUUGCAAAAAAACAAAAA
Penaeus chinensis is the source of this 403-nucleotide long non-coding RNA. RefSeq lists it as uncharacterized. The record is from RefSeq and is a predicted model, not a curated record. The transcript has 2 exons. NCBI's taxonomy places the organism in Eukaryota, Metazoa, Arthropoda, Malacostraca, Decapoda, Penaeidae.